Non-coding RNA from Canis lupus familiaris (dog), 95 nucleotides. Lineage: Eukaryota; Metazoa; Chordata; Mammalia; Carnivora; Canidae. The record is from Rfam.
CAGGACCCGCUUCCCUCGUCGCUGAGGCAGGACCGACUUCCCUCAUGACCGAGGCAGACCCGGCUUCCCUCAUGACCGAGGCAGACCCGGCUUCC